UACAGAGGUCUCAACCGUUGUUCGGAUUCAUUGGGCGUAAAGGGUGCGUAGGCGGCGGGGUAAGUCAGGUGUGAAAUCUCGGGGCUCAACCCCGAAACUGCACUUGAUACUGCCUCGCUUGAGUACUGGAGAGGAGACUGGAAUUUACGGUGUAGCAGUGAAAUGCGUAGAUAUCGUUUGGAACGCCAAUGGUGAAGACAGGUUGCUGGGAGUGUGCUGACGCUGAGACACGAAAGCCAGGGGAGCGAACGGG
This 253-nucleotide ribosomal RNA is filed under the name uncultured bacterium. Its description in RNAcentral is "partial 16S ribosomal RNA". It matches the Rfam family "Bacterial small subunit ribosomal RNA", at positions 524 to 776 of the family's 1533-position model. The record is from RNAcentral.